This 301-nucleotide ribosomal RNA is filed under the name uncultured bacterium. Its description in RNAcentral is "partial 16S ribosomal RNA". It matches the Rfam family "Bacterial small subunit ribosomal RNA", at positions 509 to 809 of the family's 1533-position model. The record is from RNAcentral.
CAGCAGCCGCGGUAAUACGUAGGUGGCAAGCGUUGUCCGGAAUUAUUGGGCGUAAAGCGCGCGCAGGCGGAUCAGUUAGUCUGUCUUAAAAGUUCGGGGCUUAACCCCGUGAUGGGAUGGAAACUGCUGAUCUAGAGUAUCGGAGAGGAAAGUGGAAUUCCUAGUGUAGCGGUGAAAUGCGUAGAUAUUAGGAAGAACACCAGUGGCGAAGGCGACUUUCUGGACGAAAACUGACGCUGAGGCGCGAAAGCCAGGGGAGCGAACGGGAUUAGAUACCCCCGUAGUCCCUGUCUCUUAUACA